AGUCACUGACAUUAGACUACCCCCGGUAGUCCAGGGUGUAAAACGCUGCAGACUUGGUGUUGGAAGCCCUUUGGGGGCAUUCAGUGCCGGAGAGAAGUUGUUAAGUCUGCUACUUGGGGAGUACGUCCGCAAAGGAUGAAACGUUAAAGGAAUUGGCGGGGGAGCACCGCAACGGGAGGAGCGUGCGGUUUAAUUGGAUUCAACACCGUAAAACUCACCAGGGAAGACUGUUACAUGAAGGCCGAGAUGAAGACUCUGCUAGAUUUUCAG
Molecule: ribosomal RNA, 270 nt
Filed under: uncultured archaeon
Lineage: Archaea
Description: partial 16S ribosomal RNA
Rfam family: Archaeal small subunit ribosomal RNA
Source: RNAcentral